RNAcentral lists this long non-coding RNA (2205 nucleotides) under Homo sapiens (human). RNAcentral describes it as "HSALNT0293313". Lineage: Eukaryota; Metazoa; Chordata; Mammalia; Primates; Hominidae. The record is from RNAcentral.
AAGAACAUUCAUGAUUCAUGGGAGGAGGGCAAAAUAUCAACAGUAACAGGAGUAUGGAAGAAGUUGAUUCCAACUCUCAUAAAUGACUGUGAGAGGUUCAAGACUUCAGUGGAGGAAGUAACUGCAGUUGUGGUGGAAAUAGCUAGAGAACUACAAUUAGAAGUGGAACCUGAAGAAGUGACUGAGUAGCUGCAACCUAUGAUAAAACUUGAAUUGAUGAGGAGUUACUUCUUACAGAUGAGCAAAUAAUUCUGAAGGAGAAUCAGUAGAGACACUGAAACAAUGAAAUAUCUGAAUAUUAACAAUAUGAUUUUGGAUCAAAUGCAUUUCAGAAUCUGAAUGAAUGAAGAAUAUGAACAAGUUGCUCUGGCAAGAACUUCCAGUACAGCGUUGAUGAGCAGUGGUAAAAGGAUUUCACUGUUUUCUGCUAUCUGGAUUUUCCCAAAGAUCCGCUAAAUCCUAAACUUCAUCUUGGUCUGAAGAAGGGCAAGUCCUCUCUCCAGCUCUUCAUUUGCUGACUCUCACUGAUGCAAGAAGAAUGAAGUCUCUUACCUGCCUUCUCCUAGGACAUCCUGGGAGAAACUGUGACUGCUGGUGUGUUCUCAAAACUCACCAACAUGAUUCUCCUUGUGGCUAUAUGACUCUAGAAAGGGAAUUUAAAUAAAAUGAUAACAAUUAACAGAUACUUUUAUGUAAACAACCGGUAGUGACCACUAUACUAGUUGGUUUGUAUUUACCAAAUUCCAUGUCUGAGGCCAAGAAUUUAUCUCUAAAUCCUCUGGGAUAAAAAUCCAGCAUCUCAUCUUUUUUUCUGCCAGCUGUAAAAACAUUGCAGGAAGGUACUGAGUACUUUUUGUUGUUGUUUUCUCCUUUCUUUGAAUCUUUGGCUUUGACAAGCAUGGAAUGAAAAUCAUAUAGAGCAUGGAGCUUAUAGCAAAGGAGAAUGUAGAGGCAAAGAGAAUAAAAAUGCUGGGAUAAUUUCUUGAAAAAUUACUUAGAGGAAGAUGUCUUAUUUUUGUGUCAUAUAACCUCUCACAUGGUUCUUGAAUGUUGCUAACUAUGGCUAGCAGUGCGAUUUCCAACAAGUAAACUGUAAUCUAGCCAAUGCUGUGAGAGUUGUACAUGUCAACCAAGGGUCAAAUAUGGCUAUACCUGUCAAGAGUUGCAAAGUAAAUGUAGAAUCUUACUUUCCCGAGGUACAUAUAAUUUAAGUUUCUUGUUCUGUUCUUUACUGUGGCAUUAUUAAAACUUAAACCCACGCCAUUUUCCUACUGAGUCACUUUCAAUGCAUAAGAAUAUGCUUUCAAGCUAUAACUGCAUCAAUACCUGUGAUUGUACUUUCUAUUGAGAAUACAAAUGCUUUUUCCCCCCUUCAGAGCUGUCAAAGCUUCUGAUGCUGAAGAGUUGAUCUUGGAAAAUGCAGGUUCAGUCCUGCUACCAGCAGAAAGUGAAGAAAGUCCUUAAUUUCACAAUCGAUGUCAUCCUAACGAUGCCAGUAUAAUAAUGGUGCAGAAAACAUACUUCAUUGAUUUUAUCUUUUUCUAUUUGGGAAGGCAAAAUUAAUCAUUCAUCUGAUCUGUGAUGUGACAAGUUAGAUAUCAUAUUCUGUUAAAAUCAGUUAGUUGUCGAUCAAAAUCAACAGUGCUUUUUCUUCAGAUUGAUUGGCACUAAAUUCUUCAUAGCUUAAGAAAUUUGACAUUUUAUAUAAGAACUCAAACAGCAUGGAGCCACAAUUUUAUUGUCGAUUAUAACAUGCCUGUAAUUGACAAGUAAGUAAGUAAACACCUGUUUGGUGUGAUCCAUUCAUCUUAAUUCCAUUGUGGUCCCAUGCUUUUGCUUUAAUUUUAUGCUUGCUAUAUUUGGACCUGAAAUAACUCCCCACAAGCCUUUCUGUAAGCAAUAUUAAAAACAAACUUCUUUGGUUAACUUUCUGUAUUUCUCAGUCAGAUGCUAGGAUCAGAUGCACAGCCACAAACUUAGUUUCUCACACUAUACAUGUAAUAUAUUAAUUACAUAAUUUACCCUAUGUAUAUUUGGUUGCUACCAAAUGUUGAUGAAUCUUUGUUAGUGGAUUGUGUGCUUUUUCCAUAUGUAAUGAGAGUUUGCGACACUGCUUCUGCUUGGAAAGUAUGCUAUAGUUAAUGCAUUUAUUUUAUUAAACACCAACAGAACUACAUCUAGUUAUUUCUAAUCACUUGGUAGCUA